GCAGGAGUCUCUCUCCUUCUAUGGUUGUUUUUCCGCCGCAGACGGUGGAUGAUAGCUUUGUUUUUUCAUUUAUUUUUGUUUUCUGAUGUAUUUGUAUUUUUUUACACUAAUUCUUAUGAUUUUUUGGAGGUAUGAUGUUUUGGAUCGAUGAGAAAGCGGUAGCUCGACUUUGGCUUUUAAGGAGGAUUUUGUUUGGUGUGACGCUGACGACUUGGGAUUGCACCACCAUGUCUGAUGGUUCACACUAUUGGCGAGUUUGCGGUGUUCCCUUCUUGUAUGUCUGAUGAUUCACACUAUUGGCGAGUUUGCGGUGUUCCAUUCUUGUGUGUGCGUUGAAUUUUCUUAAAGCCGCCUCUAUUCCCAUAUUUUCCGAGAGUUUUGCUGCUUUCAUAUGACGCACGCUUGUUGUUUUUCUGUCCGUUAUCGUUGUGUGAUGGUUCGUUUUGAUUUUGAUUCUUUGGUGUUUGACGGUUCCGACAAAUGGAACGAUGCUUGGAAGUGUGUGCGAAGGGAUUUCUGAAUGCUUUGUUUGCGCUUGUGAAUUACGAAUUUUGGAUAGGGGUUUUCGAAUUUUUAGUGGAUUGGGUUCUGAUUUAGGUUUAUGAUUUAUAGAUGAUUUGUUAAUUACAGAUUUAUCUCUUGAAUAGUUUAUUUUUUCUUUAACCCUCUUAUAUCUUAUACUCAGCCUACAUCAGCAUGGUAAAUGCAAUGUGUUUGCAUUGUUCAAAAAAAAAAAAAAUCAUUGUCAAUAAAGUACCAUAAAUUACAUUAGUUGUCCCAAUCACUUUG
RNAcentral lists this long non-coding RNA (789 nucleotides) under Manihot esculenta (cassava). RNAcentral's name for it is "long non-coding RNA (MESC_LNC010332)". The record is from RNAcentral. Lineage: Eukaryota; Viridiplantae; Streptophyta; Magnoliopsida; Malpighiales; Euphorbiaceae.